GCGGAGGCGGCGCAGAGGCGCGUCUUGGGUCCCCGCGGCGGCGCCGCGACCCCACCCUGGGGCUUCGCGGUCUCGAUCGAGCUGGCACGCGCGCCCUGCACAUACAGCUGCCUCCCCAACGCCAUUCGGGCCGCAGGGACGCAGACUCCCAGCGCGACGGCCCCAAUCUUCCCUAGACCCCAGUUUUCUUGGCGCCUUUCUCGCCCUGUCUCGGUCAACGUCCCUUGCUGGCCCCGGAGGCUCGUGUAAAGGCAAGUCGGGGGCCCAGCUGCUGCCUCUGUUUCCGAAGCUUCUUGAAAGCCAAGAACGUGCCCGUCCCAAGGGACCUGGGCGAGGAGCCUAAGGUCAACCCCAGUAUCUGCGUCGGGGGUUGUGGGUGGGAUAUAGGCCUGCUCCCCGUACAGUUCACAGCCCCGGGAACUGCAACCCCUCUAAAGCUAAAUAAAUAAAAGAACUAAAGUCAUGUGCAAGGAUUGUGCUUGGAAAGUGGCCUCUGGGGAGGGGAAGUGCCUCAGACACCUGAGGAGCCAAGAAUGUUUCCAAACAGAGUGCCCCAAGGCACUUCCUCCAGGGGAUUCUGAAGACUUCAUCUUGCUCCAUUAGUGUGGUGGGGAGAAGCUGCACAGAUGGGCCUCGAGGCCUCUGGGACCUCACUGAUCCAGGCUGAUCUUUUAAUGGUCCCGGUGCAGCUGGGGAGCUGCCACUUGCCUGUGGGAUCCUCAAAUGCUCGGUUGGAUGCUUGAUAUUAGUCAUAAUUGACAGCCACAGCUUCUUCAAAGAAGCCUGGGACAACUUAGGUGUUCCCAGACAGCUCUGACCUGUACUGAGGCCUGCUGACCCCUAAGCUCUAGUUUGGACAGCUGAGACUUCCAAUGUCCUUUUAACUUACCAUCCUACUCGAAGAAUUUAGCUUUCCAGUCUUCAGACCUUGGGCUCCUGAUCUCUGCCUGGCCCCCAGGAUGCCUAGUUGCUUAAAUGUCAUUCGCACCUACUGAUCAUCAGCAGCUUAUUAGUUUCUGUUGAAGAGUGUCUCUUUCCCUGAGGUUGGUCUUCAUGCAUAGAGGUAGUAAUUGGGCUGCCAAGUGGCCUGUCUAGGAACCCUGAAAGCAGAGCCUCUGGUAACUGGGAGUGUGCCACGUUCCCCCUUCCCCCCACAGCUGGGCAGAUAUGGGCAUGGGCUUUAGGUGUAAAUCUGUGCCCUUUGGCCAAUAUUCAACAUUUUUUGUUGCUCUGUAACUUGUUUUUCCAGCUAGAUGCCAAACUCCACACCAGGUGUGCCUUACUCUUUCUUUGUUUUUUUUUUUUUUUGGUACCGGGGAUCGAACUCAUGUCCUUGCACUUGCACAGCAGGCGGCGAAACCACUGAGCUAAAUCCCUGGCCGUACUCUUUCUUAAUUUACAGCCACUCUGUAGGCUACUCCCAUUUUUGCUCUUUUUCCAUCUGUUCAUCACUCAUCAUAGGUAGGUGUUAACCUCCCCAAGAAUCCUUUCCUAACCAGUUGGCAACCUGAACCAUACACUUCAAGAACCUUAAUAGUGGCUCUGUUUUGCCUUCUGGACUGGGCUUUUUUUCUUUUUUGAGACAGAGUCUUGCUAUAUAGUUCAGGCUAGCCUCAAACUCCUCCCUCAACCUUCUAAGUGCUGGGAUUACAGCAAUGUGCCAGCACACCUGGCUUAGACUGGGCUUUUUUUUUUUUAGACAGGGUCUCACUAUGUAGUUCAGGCUAGUCUUAAACUUGCUAUGUAGUCCAGGCUGGCCUCGAAUUUGUGGCAAUCCUGCCUUAGCCUCCCAAGUGCUGGAAUCACAGGUGUGUGCCACCACACUUGGCUUGGACUGGGCUUCUUGAGAACAGGGAUAUUCACCUUUUCCCCAGGAUUGUAUCUAAUUAGGUUUUAGGCAUCAGAAAAUAUAGAUUUAAGGGGAAGAAAAAAGAAUCAAGAUGUAAUGUGUGCAAGUGCCAGUUCCUCAUGAGGAAUAUAUCUGUUAUGUAUCACAAGCAUACUAAUUAAAAAAAUACAGAUGUGGGCCAGGGAUUUAGCUCAGUGGUUCUGCCGCCUGCCUCACAAGCGCAAGGUCCUAAGUUUGAUCCCCGGUACCAAAAAGAAAAUACAGAUGUUAAGUGGGGAAGUGGGGUGUGGUGGUGCAACUACUAAGGAAGCUAGGAGGAUCACUUGAAUCCACAAGUUGAAAACCAGCCUAAGCAACAGUGAGAUCCUAUCUGAAAACAAACAAAUGAAUUUAAAUGAGCCAAGUUUAAGUAUUUCCCAGGACCUAGCAAGUUAAGUGAUUCUGAAGUGCUUUGAGACUGUAUCCUGAAGGAAAUAAUCUGACCCAUACCCACCCCAGUGCAGUAGAGGGUCAAGAGACCAGGGUUCACCCCAGGGAGAGACUGCUGUGACCAGGCCCUCAUUGUGGGGAGUGGGGAACCGGCUAGACCUGUCUAUCUGCUCUGGGUCCAUAUCUUGGUGCCAUUCUUAUUGAUUCUUUUCUUCUUGCCUUGGAG
This 2504-nucleotide long non-coding RNA is filed under the name Heterocephalus glaber (naked mole-rat). RNAcentral describes it as "lncRNA (ENSHGLG00000041045.1)". Lineage: Eukaryota; Metazoa; Chordata; Mammalia; Rodentia; Bathyergidae. The record is from RNAcentral.